GUAGGUGAACCUGCGGAAGGAUCAUUAGUGAAUUUAGCAUCAUUACGAAAGUAAGAUGUGACCCCACUCAAUACACUGUGCAUUUAUUGACGAAGAAAAAAAAUAAUUUGAAAUUUAUUUCAUUGAAUUUUGAUUCUUUGUGGCUCACUUUUAAACACCAGUAUAAGUAUGUAUUAUAAAUAAAAUAAGAAAAACUUUCAACAACGGAUCUCUUGGCUCUC
RNAcentral lists this unclassified non-coding RNA (221 nucleotides) under rhizosphere metagenome. Its description in RNAcentral is "partial ribosomal RNA internal transcribed spacer region". The record is from RNAcentral.